RNAcentral lists this small nucleolar RNA (58 nucleotides) under Pyrobaculum aerophilum str. IM2. RNAcentral's name for it is "Pyrobaculum sRNA 210". It matches the Rfam family "Pyrobaculum sRNA 210". Rfam says of the family: Non canonical pseudouridylation guide sRNA features. Predicted to target tRNALys U54 in Pyrobaculum. The record is from Rfam by way of RNAcentral. Lineage: Archaea; Thermoproteati; Thermoproteota; Thermoprotei; Thermoproteales; Thermoproteaceae.
CGGGCUGGACUGCCGUGGUCGCGGCUGAAUGAAAAGCCCGCCCGCGGCCGAGUCUACA